AUUGAACGCUGGCGGCAUGCCUUACACAUGCAAGUCGAACGGCAGCACGGGAGCAAUCCUGGUGGCGAGUGGCGAACGGGUGAGUAAUAUAUCGGAACGUGCCCGGUCGUGGGGAUAACGUAGCGAAAGCUACGCUAAUACCGCAUACGAUCUACGGAUGAAAGCGGGGGAUCGCAAGACCUCGCGCGAUUGGAGCGGCCGAUAUCAGAUUAGGUAGUUGGUGAGGUAAAGGCUCACCAAGCCGACGAUCUGUAGCUGGUCUGAGAGGACGACCAGCCACACUGGGACUGAGACACGGCCCAGACUCCUACGGGAGGCAGCAGUGGGGAAUUUUGGACAAUGGGCGCAAGCCUGAUCCAGCAAUGCCGCGUACAGGAUGAAGGCCUGGUGUAACUGCUUUGUACGG
RNAcentral lists this ribosomal RNA (406 nucleotides) under uncultured bacterium. Its description in RNAcentral is "bacterial SSU rRNA". It matches the Rfam family "Bacterial small subunit ribosomal RNA", at positions 30 to 442 of the family's 1533-position model. The record is from RNAcentral.